UACGUAGGGUGCAAGCGUUGCUCGGAUUUAUUGGGCGUAAAGAGUGUGUAGGUGGUUUGAAAGGUCUGCUGUGAAAGCUCGAGGCUCAACCUCGAGACGUCGGUUGAAACCAGCUGGCUAGAGUCCGGAAGAGGAGUGUGGAAUUCCCGGUGUAGCGGUGAAAUGCGCAGAUAUCGGGAAGAACACCCGUGGCGAAGGCGGCACUCUGGGACGGUACUGACGCUGAGACGCGAAAGCGUGGGGAGCGAACAGG
This 253-nucleotide ribosomal RNA is filed under the name uncultured bacterium. RNAcentral describes it as "partial 16S ribosomal RNA". It matches the Rfam family "Bacterial small subunit ribosomal RNA", at positions 524 to 776 of the family's 1533-position model. The record is from RNAcentral.